RNAcentral lists this ribosomal RNA (622 nucleotides) under Sphingomonas sp. Ri3Pt_4298. RNAcentral's name for it is "bacterial SSU rRNA". It matches the Rfam family "Bacterial small subunit ribosomal RNA", at positions 387 to 1025 of the family's 1533-position model. The record is from RNAcentral. Lineage: Bacteria; Pseudomonadati; Pseudomonadota; Alphaproteobacteria; Sphingomonadales; Sphingomonadaceae.
UCCAGCAAUGCCGCGUGAGUGAUGAAGGCCUUCGGGUUGUAAAGCUCUUUUACCCGGGAUGAUAAUGACAGUACCGGGAGAAUAAGGUCCGGCUAACUCCGUGCCAGCAGCCGCGGUAAUACGGAGGGAGCUAGCGUUAUUCGGAAUUACUGGGCGUAAAGCGCACGUAAGCGGCUUUGUAAGUUAGAGGUGAAAGCCUGGAGCUCAACUCCAGAAUUGCCUUUAAGACUGCAUCGCUUGAAUCCAGGAGAGGUGAGUGGAAUUCCGAGUGUAGAGGUGAAAUUCAUUUAUCUUCGGAAGAACACCAGUGGCGAAGGCGGCUCACUGGACUGGUAUUGACGCUGAGUUGCGAAAGCGUGGGGAGCAAACAGGAUUAAAUACCCUGGUAGUCCACGCCGUAAACGAUGAUGACUAGCUGUCGGGGCUCAUAGAGCUUCGGUGGCGCAGCUAACGCAUUAAGUUAUCCGCCUGGGGAGUACGGCCGCAAGGUUAAAACUCAAAUGAAUUGACGGGGGCCUGCACAAGCGGUGGAGCAUGUGGUUUAAUUCGAAGCAACGCGCAGAACCUUACCAGCGUUUGACAUGUCCGGACGAUUUCCAGAGAUGGAUCUCUUCCCUUCGGG